AGAAUCAACGCUGGCGGCGUGCCUAACACAUGCAAGUCGAACGAGAAAGGGUAGCAAUACCUGAGUACAGUGGCGCACGGGUGAGUAACACGUGACUAACCUACCCUGGAGUGGGGAAUAACUGAGGGAAACCUUAGCUAAUACCGCAUAAUACCUACGGGUCAAAGGAGCAAUUCGCUUCAGGAGGGGGUCGCGGCCGAUUAGUUAGUUGGCGGGGUAAUGGCCCACCAAGACAGUGAUCGGUAU
RNAcentral lists this ribosomal RNA (246 nucleotides) under uncultured bacterium. RNAcentral's name for it is "partial small subunit ribosomal RNA". It matches the Rfam family "Bacterial small subunit ribosomal RNA", at positions 26 to 286 of the family's 1533-position model. The record is from RNAcentral.